RNAcentral lists this signal recognition particle RNA (148 nucleotides) under Gorilla gorilla gorilla (western lowland gorilla). Its description in RNAcentral is "Metazoan signal recognition particle RNA". It matches the Rfam family "Metazoan signal recognition particle RNA". From Rfam's summary of the family: The signal recognition particle (SRP) is a universally conserved ribonucleoprotein. It is involved in the co-translational targeting of proteins to membranes. The record is from Rfam by way of RNAcentral. Lineage: Eukaryota; Metazoa; Chordata; Mammalia; Primates; Hominidae.
GCUGGGCGAGGUGGCGAGCGCCUGUAAUCCCAGCUACUGGGGAGGCUGAGGCAGGAGAAUUGCUUGAACCCGGGAGGCGGAGGUUGCAGUGAGCUGAGAUCUUGCCACUGCACUCUAGCCUGGGUGACAGAGCAAGACUCUGUCUCAG